Molecule: long non-coding RNA, 641 nt
Organism: Limanda limanda (common dab)
Lineage: Eukaryota; Metazoa; Chordata; Actinopteri; Pleuronectiformes; Pleuronectidae
Exons: 2
Source: RefSeq, a predicted model, not a curated record
UGCUGGAGGGGAUGCUGCUGCUGGAUCCAGAGACGAGGCUGACAGAGAAGCAGGGUCUACCCCACCCCUUCCUGGCUGAAUACCAUGACCCAGAGAGUGAGACGGACUCUGAGCCUUAUGACGACUCCUUCGAGAGCCUGGAGCUGGCUGUUGGCGAAUGGAAGAGUCUUAUCCACAUGGAGAUCAUGACCUUCGACCCUGACAACCCCAGUAAAACAGCUAUGUAGGAUGCUGUGAUGAGUAGUGUUUGGUUUAAUAUCCACACGUGAGGUAAAGGUCAACGAUUCAGUGAAACAAACACAAAAAAAAGAAUAUUAAAUAUAUCCUGUCCUGUUUUGUGCAUCUGACAUGUAUGUGCAGUUGAUAAAGUUGAUGGUAGCAAUACUAGCUUGAUGAAUUAAUGGAUCUGUUUGACCAAAAGCAUGUAAACUUUGACAUAAAAUUAUUUUUAUGAGGUGUUUUGCAUUAAUUUCACUUCACCCUCAUCAUGUUCAUUUUGAUGUCUGUAUUGUCAGUCGUCCAGCUCACAUGUUUGUAAGUGCUGUAUGUGUCAGGGCAUUGUUGUUGAAUGUACAGCAGAAAGGAUUUACAUGAUACUGUACAUGAAAUAUUAAUGGUCAAAUAAAGUAAAAUACAUAGAU